RNAcentral lists this ribosomal RNA (660 nucleotides) under Bacillus sp. Y732_1. Its description in RNAcentral is "bacterial SSU rRNA". It matches the Rfam family "Bacterial small subunit ribosomal RNA", at positions 59 to 699 of the family's 1533-position model. Lineage: Bacteria; Bacillati; Bacillota; Bacilli; Caryophanales; Bacillaceae. The record is from RNAcentral.
CAGUCGAGCGAAUGGAUUAAGAGCUUGCUCUUAUGAAGUUAGCGGCGGACGGGUGAGUAACACGUGGGUAACCUGCCCAUAAGACUGGGAUAACUCCGGGAAACCGGGGCUAAUACCGGAUAACAUUUUGAACUGCAUGGUUCGAAAUUGAAAGGCGGCUUCGGCUGUCACUUAUGGAUGGACCCGCGUCGCAUUAGCUAGUUGGUGAGGUAACGGCUCACCAAGGCAACGAUGCGUAGCCGACCUGAGAGGGUGAUCGGCCACACUGGGACUGAGACACGGCCCAGACUCCUACGGGAGGCAGCAGUAGGGAAUCUUCCGCAAUGGACGAAAGUCUGACGGAGCAACGCCGCGUGAGUGAUGAAGGCUUUCGGGUCGUAAAACUCUGUUGUUAGGGAAGAACAAGUGCUAGUUGAAUAAGCUGGCACCUUGACGGUACCUAACCAGAAAGCCACGGCUAACUACGUGCCAGCAGCCGCGGUAAUACGUAGGUGGCAAGCGUUAUCCGGAAUUAUUGGGCGUAAAGCGCGCGCAGGUGGUUUCUUAAGUCUGAUGUGAAAGCCCACGGCUCAACCGUGGAGGGUCAUUGGAAACUGGGAGACUUGAGUGCAGAAGAGGAAAGUGGAAUUCCAUGUGUAGCGGUGAAAUGCGUAGAGAUAU